RNAcentral lists this ribosomal RNA (523 nucleotides) under uncultured bacterium. Its description in RNAcentral is "bacterial SSU rRNA". It matches the Rfam family "Bacterial small subunit ribosomal RNA", at positions 356 to 896 of the family's 1533-position model. The record is from RNAcentral.
GGGGAAUAUUGGACAAUGGGGGAAACCCUGAUCCAGCAAUGCCGCGUGAGUGAUGAAGGCCUUAGGGUUGUAAAGCUCUUUUACUAGGGAUGAUAAUGACAGUACCUAGAGAAUAAGCCCCGGCUAACUCCGUGCCAGCAGCCGCGGUAAUACGGAGGGGGCUAGCGUUGUUCAGAAUUACUGGGCGUAAAGAGUACGUAGGCGGUUAUUCAAGUCAGAGGUGAAAGCCUGGAGCUCAACUCCAGAACUGCCUUUGAAACUAGAUAGCUAGAAUCAUGGAGAGGUUAGUGGAAUUCCGAGUGUAGAGGUGAAAUUCGUAGAUAUUCGGAAGAACACCAGUGGCGAAGGCGACUAACUGGACAUGUAUUGACGCUGAGGUACGAAAGCGUGGGGAGCAAACAGGAUUAGAUACCCUGGUAGUCCACGCCGUAAACGAUGAUAACUAGUUGUUCGGGCUCUACGAGCUUGAGUGACGCAGCUAACGCAUUAAGUUAUCCGCCUGGGGAGUACGGUCGCAAGAUUA